RNAcentral lists this long non-coding RNA (674 nucleotides) under Columba livia (rock pigeon). RNAcentral describes it as "partial uncharacterized LOC106146139". Lineage: Eukaryota; Metazoa; Chordata; Aves; Columbiformes; Columbidae. The record is from RNAcentral.
UGCGUGUCUGUGAAAACGCCUGUUCCCUGCCUGCUCCUGACAGUAUGGGGGACCGGUGACCAAUGGCCAGUGGAUGUGCCUUCCAAGAGCCUUCAUCGGAGAAGCCAUCUCUGUGGAGAGCUCCAUCGUUUGCAAGAUGUGCAUGUUUCAGGAUUGAUUGUCCAAAGCCAUCUUGCCGCUGCUGACACAUGGACCCAGCUGGCCCCUGACACGUCACAUUGUCAUCGAUGGAGGAUCCAAUGCCGCAGCGGGUGAGCCAGGUUUUCUACACCAGCCCAAGCAGCCUGCAGCUUCCUGCUGUGCCGGUGACAGUUGUUUGCUGCGCUCUGGCGAGGCUCUGGCAAUCCUAGCAGAGCCCAGAACAUCCGUGAAGCUCUGAAUAUUUAACUGCACUGAGCAUGCAUGUGCCAUCGGCUCAUGCUCAUCGAGUGGGCAGAAAUCCUGGGGGAUAAUUUCCUAAAGCCUGGACGAGGACCUGGAGAAAGAGCCAGUGUCUCUAGGCUGAGGCUUUGCUGGGCUCGGCUUAGUCCGACACUUCUCCCUGCAGUCUGUCCAUCUGCUGUGCAGCCUCCGCGGGAGCUCCUGGGUUUAGAGCUGAGAUCUGAAUAGCAAAUGAGCGGAGGAUGUGCCAAGACUGCAGACCACCUGCUAAGAGCCAAAGGUACGUUUCUGUG